RNAcentral lists this small RNA (675 nucleotides) under Pongo abelii (Sumatran orangutan). Its description in RNAcentral is "processed transcript". Lineage: Eukaryota; Metazoa; Chordata; Mammalia; Primates; Hominidae. The record is from RNAcentral.
AAGUUGGCACCAGAUUUGGGGAGUUUUAAGAGGUUUAGAAGCCUGGCCAUCAAUAUUCACAGCAGUUAUGGAGGCAAGGGAAACAGGCCUUUGAAAAGAAGGUAAUGUGGAGUGGGUAGCCUCCAUAUUGAUUAAGAAGGGGACAGACUUACCCUCCACUGUGAGAGUUACCUAAAGCUCGGCAUCUGUGAUGGUCUACAGGGCUUCUGAGGUGAUCAGGCAGCAAAAGUCUUCAGCCAGUAAGCCAAGAAGGAGUCAGUCAGAGAGCCUUGGGCCAGAGUUCCAGGGGCUCUGGGAGUGGCUGCCAGCUACUGCCUUCCUCAUCAACAAAGUGCCCCUUCCUGUUGAUGAGUUGGCACCUUUACCUCUGGACAACAUUCUUCCCUUUAUGGAUCCAUUAAAGCUUCUUCUGAAAACUCUGGGCAUUUCUGUUGAGCACCUUGUGGAGGGGCUAAGGAAGUGUGUAAAUGAGCUGGGACCAGAGGCUUCUGAAGCUGUGAAGAAACUGCUGGAGGCGCUAUCACACUUGGUGUGAGUCAAGAUAGACAGCGGAGGUGGAUGGGGAUGGAAGAUGACGCUCCUAUCCUCCCUGGCUGAAACCUGUUCUACCAAUUAUAGAUCAAAUGCCCUAAAAUGUAGUGACCCAUGAAAAGGACAAAUAAAGCAAUGAAUAGA